CCAUACCACAAUUCUGGCUGAGACCACAUCGGCCCCAUCCUCCCACUGCUACAAAUUUUACAACAGCCCGAAUCUGUGACUUCCCACUCUAACCUGCCUAUAGCCCCCGACACCUGCUCAUAGAGUUCAACUCUUCAGCAGGGCAUGCCAGGCCUGUCGGGCCCUACCUACUUUUCUAGCUGUACCCUUUCUUUUUACCCUUCACACAGCCUCCACUCCAACCACACUGAAUGACUUACCUUCUUCCCCAAAGGCUCCAUCCAGCUUGAAUGCCUUUGCUCAUUCCUCUUCUCCUCUACCUAGACUGCUUUCUGCUCUGCCUGUCACCCCAAGAAACCUCCGAGGCCCACCUGAGCCUUCCCCAAUGGGUGAAUCAGAUCCAAUUAAUCCUAAUCUCUCUUUGCCACUCAUACCUCCACCACGGCUCAUGAAUACAUCUGCUUAACAUUCUAAUUGGAUGUGCACAUGAUCCUCUCUCCAGUAGAUCCUAACUUUCUUGAGGGCAGGGAACAUGCCAUUUAGUUCAGUUCAAUAUUUACUGAGCACUUCUGUGUGAAGGGCACUGAAGAUACUGAAAACAAUACUCAACAGCCCCUGUCUUUGAAGAGCUCCUAGUCAGAUGCCCUCGACAAUACCGUGUAUGAAGUGCUUUGACACAGCUGCGAGGGGGACUUAAAACAAGCGACUUAAUAGCAGACAAAGCCCAAAUCACCUAAUGACGAAGGCAGGACUAUAGCUUUCAGUUGCUCCUCAGAAACUGAGCAAACUACAUGGCAGAGAAUAGAAUAAAUUGGCUGAAUUCUAAAGAUACCAUCACCAAGUCCUGCCCACCGUGUCCCAAAGACUCCUACUCACCUGUACUUGUGAACGCAGCUGAUCCAUCUUCUGCUGCUGCUUCUCUACAAUCUGAAAAAGAAAAGUCAUCAAGGAAGGCGCAAUCAGAAUGCCAACGUUUGCUGGCUGUCACAGCCUGGACACCCUCAGUCACCUUUCGGAGUGAAUCACAUUCCUUCUGCCAAGACUCCACUUCUACAUUCGGACGUUCUUCCUGUUGGGCUGGACAUU
Long non-coding RNA from Loxodonta africana (African savanna elephant), 1065 nucleotides. RefSeq lists it as uncharacterized. The record is from RefSeq and is a predicted model, not a curated record. The transcript is spliced from 4 exons. NCBI's taxonomy places the organism in Eukaryota, Metazoa, Chordata, Mammalia, Proboscidea, Elephantidae.